Long non-coding RNA from Gopherus evgoodei (Goodes thornscrub tortoise), 596 nucleotides. RefSeq lists it as uncharacterized. The record is from RefSeq and is a predicted model, not a curated record. NCBI's taxonomy places the organism in Eukaryota, Metazoa, Chordata, Testudines, Testudinidae. The transcript is spliced from 2 exons.
UCAGCCAGGCCCCAGGCUCCCCCCGGCCGGGCGCCGCCGCCGCGGAAGCGGGCAGGGAGGGGCCUGCAGGCUCCAGGCCGGGUGCAGCCCGGUAACUACCCCCGGCGAGCAGGGUCCCGCGGGCCCCCAGCACUGGGCUCGCUGGGGCCCAGGGCGCUGAAGCCGAAGCCUGAGCAAUGCAGCUUCACCCAGGGUGGCAGGAAUAUUGGCAGAGAAGUGUCUGAAUCAAGCCCCGCAUUUCAUGUUGAAAAGACAUGGAGUGAAAACACAUUUUACAGGAUAUGCAGAGAAGAUCAUGUGCAUUGUUCUGGACAGCAUUAAAGUAUGUCAAAGCAACUGUGCAGGUGAGAGGGCAGAGGAUAAAUGACAGACGCAUGGCUGAGCACUGGAAGUAGAUUUAUUCAACACACCCCUGCUUCACACAGGACCAAGUUACAUUGCAGCAGACUGACUACCCAACUUGAAUUCAACAGAGCACAGCCACACGGGCUGAAGACAGGUAGCUUCCUCUACUUGACCUUCUUCUUGGGACGCAGAUUAUUGGUGUGGCCACACUUUUUCUUACGGCAGUUAACAGCACGAGGGUGCAGGCGGGC